GAUGAACGCUGGCGGCGUGCCUAAUACAUGCAAGUCGAGCGAACAGACGAGGAGCUUGCUCCUCUGACGUUAGCGGCGGACGGGUGAGUAACACGUGGAUAACCUACCUAUAAGACUGGGAUAACGUCGGGAAACCUGAGCUAAUACCGGAUAAUAUAUUGAACCGCAUGGUUCAAUAGUGAAAGACGGUUUUGCUGUCACUUAUAGAUGGAUCCGCGCCGCAUUAGCUAGUUGGUAAGGUAACGGCUUACCAAGGCAACGAUGCGUAGCCGACCUGAGAGGGUGAUCGGCCACACUGGAACUGAGACACGGUCCAGACUCCUACGGGAGGCAGCAGUAGGGAAUCUUCCGCAAUGGGCGAAAGCCUGACGGAGCAACGCCGCGUGAGUGAUGAAGGUCUUCGGAUCGUAAAACUCUGUUAUUAGGGAAGAACAAAUGUGUAAGUAACUAUGCACGUCUUGACGGCACCUACUCAGAAAGCCACGGCUAACUACGUG
Molecule: ribosomal RNA, 497 nt
Filed under: uncultured bacterium
Lineage: Bacteria
Description: partial 16S ribosomal RNA
Rfam family: Bacterial small subunit ribosomal RNA
Source: RNAcentral